Lepidothrix coronata (blue-crowned manakin) is the source of this 1586-nucleotide long non-coding RNA. Lineage: Eukaryota; Metazoa; Chordata; Aves; Passeriformes; Pipridae. The record is from Ensembl.
UCCAUUUCGAGACGAUGGGUAGCAGCCUUAUGUGGUUUGAUCGCUUGCUUUCAUCACCCAUGCCCAAUUAUUAUACAUGAGAUCCAUCAGCCCCCUCGCAGCAACAGUUCCUGCAGCUGAGCAUCAGCACGCUUGGGAACAAUAAAGGGCUGGCACUUGGGAGUUUCUUUCCCUUCUAAAUGGGCAGGACCCAAAAUUCCUCCCUUGCAGAGCUCACCGAUCAGGUUUGUUACUGGAACAGGUACAUUUCCAUCUGAGCAGCCUGAGGAUGUGGGAUUUGGGAAGAUUUGUUGCCAGUUUACAUUCAGCAUUGUUGGUUGUGUGCUCUGGUGGAGUUUCGGAUAGGUACAGGGCAAACCAUGGAAAGGCUCCUGCCUUUGUGUGAUUGAUUUUUAAGGAUAAUUUGCCAUUUUGUUCCUUGCCUCCUUCCUAAUGAGCUGAAUUGUUAAAAUAUGUUAAUGUAAGGAGACACACGAGAAAGGGUGAAGCAAUCUACUGACACAUUGGAUAAUUAGAUCAUCUCCUGCGCAGGAAAAAAGUCAAGUACGAAACAGGAACAAGAAGCGCCUCCCUCCCCCCCUGUAGAGGCACCAGGUCUGGCUCUUUCUGCAUGCAGAAGCAGGUGACUCAAAGCAGGAGGGAGCAGAUGGCAGCAUCGUUAGCUGGUGGCCACAGCCUUCCCAGAUGAGUUUUGGAAUUUCCAUCAAAGUCGGGAUUAGGCUCAGGAUAUGCCGGUGGCACAGAGCACGCCGGGGGAGCGUGGAAGAAGAGGAAAUCAUUCAUAGCGACUCAUCUCGUGGUUGGGUGCUGAUCUCACAGAGGUGUCCUGCAUAUGCCAAAGGACGAACGUGUUGUUUGAGGGAAAAGCUGCUCAUAAAUCUGUGCAAACUGAAAGAUUCUGAAGACAAACCUGUCAGUAGUGAAUUGUCCCAGAAGCACAUGGAGAAAGUUGUACAUGGUGGAGGCUGUUUUUUCUGAGGCUGAAACUCAUCUCAACUCCUCAUGACCAGCUGAGCAAGAGAGAUGGGAUUUGAUGCUAUCCAAGGUGUAAUUCCACAGUUCAUGUCUUUUGCUACUGCCAGCUUAAUAAGUUUCUGCCCACUCCCAGCCAUUCAUUUCCAGCCCAGCAGCAAUGCAGUGCCAUCUCUUCCCUGACCGUGCGGAAAACCAGAUGGCUGAAAAUAACUCAGUCAAGAAAAGAAACCCUUUAUUUUAUUUUUUUCCUUUGAAUUAGAUUCAUUUGAAUGAUGCCCAUGGGCAGUCGUAUUGGUACAACUGAAGGUGACAUGAACUGCAGCAUCAGAGGCAGCAGUGAGCACUGGAGGGUGUCCCAAUGCUAAGUGAUCUUGCUGUCAACAAAAAUCUGCUCUGGGACCAUAUCCUGGAUGAAGGGGUGUUUCACUAGCCACAGGAUUAUUUAUUGAACUGCUGCUUUUCAUUUAUUUUAUUAAGGAAGAUUAACAUCUUCUUGUUUGGGCAGGUUUAUUUUUUUUUUUACUUGAGGAGAUAAACCAUCUCUGUGAGAAGUCAGUCAGCUUUGUGGACAGCCAUGAAUGUCAAUAAAGUCUUGGCAAACACAGUAGGCA